GACGAACGCUGGCGGCGUGCCUAAUACAUGCAAGUAGAACGCACAGUUUAUACCGUAGCUUGCUACACCAUACACUGUGAGUUGCGAAUGGGAGAGUAACGCGUAGGUAACCUGCCUGGGAGCGGGGGGUAACACUUGGACACGAUCGCUAAUACAGCAUAAUCUUGAUUAUUGCAUGAUAAUUGAUUGUAAGAUGCUAUUGCAUCAAUACAAGCUGGCCCCGCGUUGUAUUAGCUAGUAGGAGAGGUAACGGAUCACCUAAGCGACGAUACAUAGCCGACCUGAGAGGGGGAUCGGCCACACUGGGACUGAGACACGGCCCAGACUCCUACGGGAGGCAGCAGGAGGGAAUCUUCGGCAAUGGACGAAAGUCUUACCGAGCAACGCCGCGUGAGUGAAGGAGGGUUUCGGAUCGUAAAGCUCUGUUGUAAGAGAAGAACGGGAGUUGGAGGUGAAAGUUCACACUGUGACGGUAUCUUACCAGAAAGGGACGGCUAACUACGUG
Molecule: ribosomal RNA, 505 nt
Filed under: uncultured bacterium
Lineage: Bacteria
Description: partial 16S ribosomal RNA
Rfam family: Bacterial small subunit ribosomal RNA
Source: RNAcentral